This 786-nucleotide long non-coding RNA is filed under the name Marmota monax (woodchuck). Lineage: Eukaryota; Metazoa; Chordata; Mammalia; Rodentia; Sciuridae. The record is from RNAcentral.
CUUGAUUGAAAUGAGCUCUAUUUUAACAUCAGGGCCAUCAGAAAAAAUAAGAUAAUUUUCAAAUCAAAAUUUGUCACAAGAGCUGUAGUAUGGCCUUGUUUUGAUUUUGAUUUUUUUUGUUUGUUUUGUUACCUAGGAUUGAACCCAGGAGCAUUUAACCACUGAGCCACAUCCUCGCCCAUUUUUAAUUUUAUUUAGAAACAGGGCCUCACUUAGUUGCUUAGGGCCUAGCUAAAUUGCUGAAGUUGGUUUUGAACUCGUGAUCCUCCUGCCUCAGUCUUCCAUGUCAAUGGAAUUACAGAUGUGGGUGGGCCACUGUGCCUAAGGAUUUUAAUAUAUUUUUAAGUAAGUCUGUUACAGUGGAUAAUAUUAAAUUGUUUCAGUUUGCCCUCUGUAUACAAAUCGUCUGUAUACAAAUUCAAGAAUUUGUAACUCUAGUACACUAUGCCUUUAUUCUUUUAUGUACUGUUUAAAUACUUCACUGUUUCAGAAUACGAAAACUCAAAACUACCUUAUUUGUUAGGAAGUUGUAUAUUUUCUGAUCUCUGGCAAGGAACAGAACAUGGAAUUUAUUCCAUAGUGAGAUGUUUUUAAGUUUUACAUCAAUGACCUCAGUCUCAUCCUGAGAAACUUUAAUUCUUGCAAAUUAGAACAUAUUACAAGCUUAAUGUAAUAAUAAGGGACUUCUGUUUGUGCCAAUUUACUUGCGGUUUUGUUGCCAAUUUGUGUGAGAAAUUAUUUUGCUGUUUAGGAGGUAGAUACCCCAAAUUUUGAUAAAUGUUAAUA